Long non-coding RNA from Hemiscyllium ocellatum (epaulette shark), 1774 nucleotides. RefSeq lists it as uncharacterized. The transcript has 2 exons. Lineage: Eukaryota; Metazoa; Chordata; Chondrichthyes; Orectolobiformes; Hemiscylliidae. The record is from RefSeq and is a predicted model, not a curated record.
GUUGCCUAGACGUGCUCGCGCGUCCACCGAAAAACAACAGUGAGGGCGCGGAGCCGACGAUGAAGCCUUAAGCACAGCUUGCAGAAAUAAUGGCCGCAAAAACUGAGCCUGUUUUUUUGAUGAUUCCUAACCAGAAGACAUCUCCAACACCUGUUGUUGAAGAAGAACCAUCUGUGGAAGAGAAUUGUGGCCACUGGCUGGGUUUUUGGUAUGGCUGGUGGGUGUGUUGGUGGGCUGGAUUCUUCAUUAUUUCUGUUCCUAUCAGUUUCAUCUUCAGUUUUCUGGGUCGAAAACUCUGCUGUCUAAUCUUAAAAGCAUCCAGAAAUCUAUGCUCAUGCCCAUUAAAAUUGAAGUUCAGUUCUUUAAUAAUUAAGGGUUUGGAGAAACAGGAAGCGAAUAAUGCAGAAGGCCUUUUAGGAUGGAUCAAAAAAUGGAAGAAUCUGAUGCCAGGGAUUAUCCUAGGAGCAGUUAUUGGAAUCUUCCAGAUAGUAAAUUGCAUGAUGUAUCAAUAUCAAGUUGGAGGAGCCAUUUUUGGAAUAAUAUUUGGAUUUCAGUUAAUGCUGCUUAAUGCUUAUAUUUUCAAAUUGUGAUCUAACACUAUGUUGGGAUCAAACCUUCACCAAAGAAGAACAUUGUGGAUAUUCUCUACUGAUACUUUAAGCCUUAAAAGGAGUUGUAAACAACUAUAACCUUAAGAAUCUCCAAAAGAUUUGCACUGUUACACUCGCCAGCUGCAAUGUAUGAGGUUUUUAGUCAAAUUAAACAGCAUUUCUUUUGCUGCUUGCAUAUUUUCAAAACUGAGGAUUGCACCAUAGUGUAUCAUUUUUAUAUUGAGGUCAAAUAAUUGGUUUUGAUUUACUGAGUGUGACUGACUGUUUCUGAUCUUGUAGAGAAAAAAAUGGCCAUCACAGGUGAAGCGCAUGUAAUCACCUUGAGACAUUUGUUUUUUUUUUAAUUUUUAUAUCUUGUGAUGUUAUAAUAAAAAGUUCUGCUAUGUUUUCAAAGGGUCUGUGCUCCAAAAAACAUUCCUGGAUCUUUAUGCAAUCUUUAAAAUCUUUUGUAGAGGUCAUGGAAAAUAAUUUCAGUAUAUGAAUAACAAGAAUUUUAACAUUUUAACUAUUCUGCAUGCUUUGCUUGAAAAGUGUUUUCAAUUAUGUAUGAAAAGCAGUUUGUAUGUUAUCUCAUAAAAUAAUAUCAUGCAUGCUGUUUAUUUUUCUCACUUAUGAACCAGGGAUUAUGUUAAACAGUGAACUUCAGAAUAAUGCCAGAAAUGUAUUAAAGUUUUUUUUUUAAUCUUGUUGAAGCAUUGCAUGCACAGAUGUCAUUGUGAUGACUUUGAUCAAUUUGGUAAACAUGUCUGCCUUAGUGGAUAAAGUUUACUUUUUUUUUGCUUAUACAUCAGGAUAUUCUCUAAUUAAAAUAGAAAAUGGCAGGAUGUAUGGACAGAGAAACAGCAAGAUGUUCUUUCAUAAGAAUAACAUUCUCUGUAUUGCUUACAAUUAACCUUCUCACUGCCCUUCAGUGUCAAUGAUGGCAUUCUGUGCUCCAAUUUUGUAAAAGCCUCUGUUCAGUUCCAUUGAAGGGACAUAAAAACACUUUAGUGAAAUGUAUUAAUGUACCUUAGUCUUUUUAAAUAUUGCUGCAGAGCUGUUUUCUAUGCAAGUAAUUCCAAAAGGUGCUUCUUGAUACCAUUGGGAUUAAAACUUCACAAUUUUUAUUGUCAUGUUAAAGCUGUGUUAUGUAAAUUAAGAAUUAAACAAGUUCAACUUUGCAA